GCCAGCCCGCUCAAGAACUUAAAGGAAUUGACGGGACCCCGCACAAGCGGUGGAUCAUGUUGUUUAAUUCGAUGAUACGCGAAGAACCUUACCAGGUCUUGACAUCCCCCGCGAUGCUUUAGAGAUAAAGCGGAGGUAUUCGGGAGACAGGUGGUGCAUGGUUGUCGUCAGCUCGUGUCGUGAGAUGUUGGGUUAAGUCCCGCAACGAGCGCAACCCCUAUUGCUAGUUACCAUCAUUAAGUUGGGGACUCUAGCGAGACUGCCAGUGAUAAACUGGAGGAAGGUGGGGAUGACGUCAAAUCAUCAUGCCCCUUAUGACCUGGGCUACAAACGUGAUACAAUGGCUGGAACAAAGGGAUGCGAAGCAGUGAUGUGGAGCGAAACCCAUAAAAACAGUCUCAGUUCGGAUUGAAGUCUGCAACUCGACUUCAUGAAGUCGGAAUCGCUAGUAAUCGCGGAUCAGAACGCCGCGGUGAAUACGUUCUCGGGGUUU
RNAcentral lists this ribosomal RNA (493 nucleotides) under uncultured Acholeplasma sp. Its description in RNAcentral is "bacterial SSU rRNA". It matches the Rfam family "Bacterial small subunit ribosomal RNA", at positions 903 to 1382 of the family's 1533-position model. Lineage: Bacteria; Bacillati; Mycoplasmatota; Mollicutes; Acholeplasmatales; Acholeplasmataceae. The record is from RNAcentral.